CAGUCGCCACGGUAAUACGAAGGGUGCAAGCGUUACUCGGAAUUACUGGGCGUAAAGCGUGCGUAGGUGGUGGUUUAAGUCCGUUGUGAAAGCCCUGGGCUCAACCUGGGAAUUGCAGUGGAUACUGGAUCACUGGAGUGUGGUAGAGGAUAGAGGAAUUUCCGGUGUAGCAGUGAAAUGCGUAGAGAUCGGAAGGAACAUCUGUGGCGAAGGCGACUAUCUGGGCCAACACUGACACUGAGGCACGAAAGCGUAGGGAGCAAACAGGAUUAGAUACCCCGGUAGUCCCUGUCUCUUAUAC
RNAcentral lists this ribosomal RNA (301 nucleotides) under uncultured bacterium. RNAcentral's name for it is "partial 16S ribosomal RNA". It matches the Rfam family "Bacterial small subunit ribosomal RNA", at positions 509 to 807 of the family's 1533-position model. The record is from RNAcentral.